AAGACCUUGCGCUUUUGGAGCGGCCGAUGUCUGAUUAGCUAGUUGGUGGGGUAAUGGCCUACCAAAGCUUCGAUCAGUAGCUGGUCUGAGAGGACGGCCAGCCACACUGGGACUGAGACACGGCCCAGACUCCUACGGGAGGCAGCAGUGGGGAAUUUUGGACAAUGGGCGCAAGCCUGAUCCAGCCAUGCCGCGUGAGUGAAGAAGGCCUUCGGGUUGUAAAGCUCUUUCAGCCGGGAAGAAGAGGCUGCGACUAAUAAUCGCAGUUCAUGACGGUACCGGAAGAAGAAGCACCGGCUAACUACGUGCCAGCAGCCGCGGUAAUACGUAGGGUGCGAGCGUUAAUCGGAAUUACUGGGCGUAAAGGGUGCGCAGGCGGUUUUGUAAGUCAGAUGUGAAAUCCCCGGGCUUAACCUGGGAACU
This 423-nucleotide ribosomal RNA is filed under the name uncultured bacterium. Its description in RNAcentral is "bacterial SSU rRNA". It matches the Rfam family "Bacterial small subunit ribosomal RNA", at positions 207 to 622 of the family's 1533-position model. The record is from RNAcentral.